AUGCAUGCAUUCGGGGAGGCCACCGGCCUCAAGGUGAACUUCCAGAAGAGCACAAUUCUACCUAUCCAGGGUGCACUUUUUGAUGUGCAGAAUGUCACCGAACCAUUGGGGGCCCCCUGUGCGGCCUUCCCAUGCAAAUUCCUCGGACUACCGCUGUCACUCCGAAAAUGGCGCAAGGUCGACCUCCAACCCCUGCUCGACAAGCUGCUGGCACGACUGGCUUGCUGGAAGCUUAAACUUUUCGCGGCGGCGGGCAGGCUGGUGCUCCUCAACUCGGUCCUCACUGCCUUCACCACCUACUAGUUGUCUGUCCAAGACAUGCCAGCGUGGGUGCGCCGCCAAAUUGACAAGGCCAGAAGAGCUUGGCUGUGGCGUGGGCAAGAGGCAUGCCAUGGGGGUCACUACAAGGUUGCUUGGGGGAGGAUCUGUAGACCAAAGGAGCUGGGCGGCCUCGGGAUCCUGGACCUAGUGCGGUUCGGAUAUGCCUUGAGGCUACGUUGGCUAUGGCUCGAACGGACGGCACCGGAAAGGCCAUGGAUAGGUUUGCCUGUCCCAUGCACCCUACAAGAGAGAGUUCUGUUCGCGGCCGCAAUGGCAGCGCAAGUCAGAGACGGGAAGACGGCGUCCUUUUGGUACGACAGCUGGAUGCAAGGG
RNAcentral lists this ribosomal RNA (654 nucleotides) under Triticum aestivum (bread wheat). RNAcentral's name for it is "partial small subunit ribosomal RNA". Lineage: Eukaryota; Viridiplantae; Streptophyta; Magnoliopsida; Poales; Poaceae. The record is from RNAcentral.